AACGCUGGCGGCAGGCUUAACACAUGCAAGUCGAGCGGGGAAAGGUAGCUUGCUACCUGACCUAGCGGCGGACGGGUGAGUAAUGCUUAGGAAUCUGCCUAUUAGUGGGGGACAACAUUCCGAAAGGAAUGCUAAUACCGCAUACGCCCUACGGGGGAAAGCAGGGGAUCUUCGGACCUUGCGCUAAUAGAUGAGCCUAAGUCAGAUUAGCUAGUUGGUGGGGUAAAGGCCUACCAAGGCGACGAUCUGUAGCGGGUCUGAGAGGAUGAUCCGCCACACUGGGACUGAGACACGGCCCACACUCCUACGGGAGGCAGCAGUGGGGAAUAUUGGACAAUGGGCGAAAGCCUGAUCCAACCAUGCCGCGUGUGUGAAGAAGGCCUUUUGGUUGUAAAGCACUUUAAGCGAGGAGGAGGCUACUUAUAUUAAUACUCUAGGAUAGUGGACGUUACUCGCAGAAUAAGCACCGGCUAACUCUGUGCCAGCAGCCGCGGUAAUACAGAGGGUGCGAGCGUUAAUCGGAUUUACUGGGCGUAAAGCGUGCGUAGGCGGCUUUUUAAGUCGGAUGUGAAAUCCCUAAGCUUAACUUAGGAAUUGCAUUCGAUACUGGGAAGCUAGAGUAUGG
Molecule: ribosomal RNA, 625 nt
Filed under: uncultured bacterium
Lineage: Bacteria
Description: bacterial SSU rRNA
Rfam family: Bacterial small subunit ribosomal RNA
Source: RNAcentral